GCUCCCAUCGACUAACUGGUAGGUCACUACUCUUUCAAGGUAGUAGUACGGAUUCGAAUUCCGUUGGGAGUACCA
Molecule: transfer RNA, 75 nt
Filed under: Vibrio phage phiKT1024
Lineage: Duplodnaviria; Heunggongvirae; Uroviricota; Caudoviricetes
Description: tRNA-Gln
Rfam family: tRNA
About the family: Transfer RNA (tRNA) molecules are approximately 80 nucleotides in length.
Source: RNAcentral